AAAUAAUUGGUUCAAUACUCACUAAGUUUUUACUGUUGGAUCUCACAAAAGAUAUUAAAAUGAUGUCCUUGUCUCUUCCUUGAUAACGAUCGACAGUGUUAAUUUCUAUUUCAGUGAAUGAUUUAAGAUUCUUAGAAAGCAACUCCACCUGACUUUUGUAAAUUGAAAUUAUCCCGAUAGAACUUUGCUUAACGCCUCGUUCCAAGAAGGAGGAAACUGCUUGUUCUAUCAAAAAAGCUUCAGUAUGAUUUUCUAGAAUAUUAUUAGUUUUUGAUUCAACUCCCAGAAUAUCAUCGGUAUUAAAAAAUAUGACUGAAUGACUAGGAUUGAUUAACUUGUUGACCCAAUGUAGGCUAGACGACGAAUCGGGUAAACCAUCACUUAGAUGAGCUUUUGGCAAAAUUAAUUUUUUUUGGGAUAUCGUCUUGGACCCACACACCAAAUUGCCGCCAUAAAUAAGUU
Non-coding RNA from Schizosaccharomyces pombe (fission yeast), 462 nucleotides. NCBI's taxonomy places the organism in Eukaryota, Fungi, Ascomycota, Schizosaccharomycetes, Schizosaccharomycetales, Schizosaccharomycetaceae. The record is from the annotation of a GenBank genome assembly.